UGUGCUUUGUAGGACCUCAGAAAUUCUGAAGACCAAAAAAAAAGGUAAUACUGCGGAGAGUUUUCCGAUUUAAUAUCAUGUUUAUUUAUUCAAUGGUGUUUUUACAGUGAAAUUUUACCGUCUACAACCUUGGUCAGUAGGCAAUUUUUCACAUUAGCGCACGAUUUCAGUGUAAAAUCAGCUUUUUGGUAUAAAAUCGAGGUCUAAACCUCAAAAUCACAAUUUCGUCACAAGAUUGACAUAAGGGACCAUUUAAAAUGGAUGCAAUUCACCCAAAUUUUGGCAAUAAUGUUUCUUUACCCAGUGGCAUCGAUUGCCACAUGGAAAGAGUGACAUCUCAAAUUUUCAUUUUUUUGAUGCACCCUCGGGUAACAUCUGUCCAGGAGCCGCGCUAAUGAAUAUCUGGUCAGCUGAGCCGAGACAAGCCACGCCGCAACAUAUCAGUGUGUUUACUGCUUUAAGGGACAUUAUUUGUUUUUGCUCUAGCUGAAGUUUGCAAGAGAGUGUUUCUUUAAUAAUUUAUUGCUGUCCAUAAUUUCUUCCUUGACGAGUUGUCGCAUACUCUCAAAAAGUGAGCACCGGUAAUGGUAGGGUUUGUAAUUUUUUUUACCUGAGAUUAAAAAAUUAUACAUUCCGAAACAACAUAUUCCCAAAAUAUGAUUCAUGAGUGAGGUUGUUGAUAUAACAUUAAAUACAACUAGAGACCCAGCAGGGUGACAACCAAAAUUCAUUAGUAUAACUUUUUAGUACAUCGAUAAAAAAAAUCUGCAACUGAUGAGGAGAGAGCUUUAAGCAAUUUUUUACCUUAGCAGCAAAACUAACAUCGGCUCCUUUUUGGAUUAAUAGGGUUGCUAUGUUUGUAUUCCCAUAAUGUGCCGCAAUGUGAAGAGGUGUAAAACCGCUUUUAGAUGUGAUGUCUGGAUUGUGAUCAUUCUAAAAUCAACAUGGAAAAAAAAUAAUGAAAUCAACAGCAAAACUGGACACUUGUCGCAUUGACGACUCUUCCUUGGAUUUUGCGGGGACCCGACUAGGCGAAUCCAUCCAUCCAUCCAUCCAUCCAUCCAUCCUCCAAUCCCUGUGGAAUUUCUCUUGGAAAAUCAACCUCUGGAAUAAGAUCGAAAUGGAAGCUUUGAACAAUCACGUUCUGUAUACCCCGACGAAGACAACGCAAUUGGUCCACUCCAAGGAUUUAGUGAAGGACAACGUUACCUUCUACGAAAGAUGCUACGCGUUGAUAUGAAAUAUGGGGCGAGCUUCCUGGCCCUCAUCACCAUCGGUGAUGAGAAGUGCAAGGUCUACCUACCGAAAUCCUACAACGCAGCAAUCUCUGAUGUGGAUCUAGAGGAGCUCAACUCGAGAAGACUCGACUUGGUCAUGGUAGAUCGUCACUUUGCAACUUUUUCAAAUUUGAAGUCGUGGACAGCCUUGACGAACCGGAGUCAGAAGCCCAAGCUUCGUCUAAACCGAGCUGGAAAGAAACUCGUCUCAUUUUGAGAUUUAAGUGUGUAACUUUUCAUGAUUUUAUUCUGAUUGUAAUAUGUUCAACAGUUCGAUUAAUAAACAUUAGAUCGAUCUUAACAAAAUCUUAUCAUUCCAGUUUUCCACCACCUCCCUCCCUCCUACUUUCUAAGGUUAGUAUUGUCAGAGCAUGUUUGACUCUUACGAUGCCACCCUCCUCCCUAUCUCAAUUAUAUGAUGAGGGGAAAAGAAAGAAGAUGGAUUUAUAGUUUUGAAUUUAUUGAAUAAAUAAGAAAUUCUUAAAAGAGAAUUCAAUUUCCAAAGAUUUAUUCGAAAGAAUACAAAGUAUAAAACAUUUGAAUCUUGAAUGAAAUUACGAAUUCAAAGGAAACUUAAUUUUGACAAAAGAAUUGUUCACUCUUAUGAAACGAAUCAAACUUUAAAAACUGAAGAAAUGCAAAGAAUCAAUAAUGACAUGCCAUUAAUUCUAGAUUUAAAAUAGGAAAUAAAAAAAUGAGAGGAAAAGAGCUGCACUAAAUCGAUGGUUUACUCUACAAUUUACUCGGAAUCGAGUGUCUAAAAGAAUACAUUUAGCUACAUCCAAAUAACCACAUUUGAAACCGAUUGAACCCUGUUUAAAACCAGGAUUUUACAAUGAUAACUGAAAAACCCAAGUUUAAAACCACUGAAACCAUGGUUAAAACCGCUGAAACCAGUUUAAAAUCAGUGAAAACAUGUUUACAACCACUGAAAUCAUGGUUUUUCUUAUUAAUAAAAUAGGUAACUACAAUACGUAGUAAUCUUAAUUAUGCUACUCUAGUUAACCCUAAUUAUUCUAAUCCGAACCAUGUUUAAAACCACUGAAACCAUGUUUAAAACCGAUGAAACCAUAAUUAGAACCACUGAAACAGGAUUUAAAACCACUGAAACCAGGUUUAAAACCAUUGAAACCAGUUUUCAAACCACUAAAACCAUGUUCACAACCAUUGAAACCGUGUUUACAACCACUGGAACCAUAUUUAAAACCACUUAAACCAUGUUAAAACUACUAGAACCAGAUUUAAAACCAUUGAAACUAAUUAAAACAAAACCCAUUAAGAAACCACCAUAUUUCAGUUUAAAAUCCCAAUGACUCCAUAACUAUAUAACCACAUUCCAAACGGGAAAACCUCUAUUCAGAACCGGGAAACCAAGUUUGAAACCAAACAUCAUAUUGUCCCCAGCAGAAUCUUAUUCAAAACCAGACAAAUCGCAUUGAAACCGAAAAAAACCCCGGUUUAUAACCGUAAAUCUAGUUCAGGACCAGGAGUACCCCU
Molecule: long non-coding RNA, 2774 nt
Filed under: Bemisia tabaci
Lineage: Eukaryota; Metazoa; Arthropoda; Insecta; Hemiptera; Aleyrodidae
Description: lncRNA ENSSSA1NGG007809
Source: RNAcentral